GACGAACGCUGGCGGCGUGCUUAACACAUGCAAGUCGAACGGAAAGGCCCUGCUUUUGUGGGGUGCUCGAGUGGCGAACGGGUGAGUAACACGUGAGUAACCUGCCCUUGACUUUGGGAUAACUUCAGGAAACUGGGGCUAAUACCGGAUAGGAGCUCCUGCUGCAUGGUGGGGGUUGGAAAGUUUCGGCGGUUGGGGAUGGACUCGCGGCUUAUCAGCUUGUUGGUGGGGUAGUGGCUUACCAAGGCUUUGACGGGUAGCCGGCCUGAGAGGGUGACCGGCCACAUUGGGACUGAGAUACGGCCCAGACUCCUACGGGAGGCAGCAGUGGGGAGUAUUGCACAAUGGGCGGAAGCCUGAUGCAGCAACGCCGCGUGCGGGAUGACGGCCUUCGGGUUGUAAACCGCUUUCGCCUGUGACGAAGCGUGAGUGACGGUAAUGGGUAAAGAAGCGCCGGCUAACUACGUG
This 468-nucleotide ribosomal RNA is filed under the name uncultured bacterium. RNAcentral's name for it is "partial 16S ribosomal RNA". It matches the Rfam family "Bacterial small subunit ribosomal RNA", at positions 28 to 507 of the family's 1533-position model. The record is from RNAcentral.